This is a small nuclear RNA of Hyaena hyaena (striped hyena), 108 nucleotides long. Lineage: Eukaryota; Metazoa; Chordata; Mammalia; Carnivora; Hyaenidae. The record is from RefSeq and is a predicted model, not a curated record.
GUGCUCACUUUGGCAGCACACACACUAAAACUGAGAACGAUGCAGAGAAGAUUAGCAUGGCCCCUGCGGGAGGAUGUCAUGUAAAUUUGUGAGGCAUUCCGUAUGUGG